GCCAGCCCGCUCAGAAACUUAAUGAAUUGACGGGGGCCCGCACAAGCGGUGGAGCAUGUGGUUUAAUUCGAUGAUACGCGAGGAACCUUACCUGGGCUCAAAUGUAUGUUGACGUAUUCUGAAAGGGAUACUUCUUCGGACAAUAUACAAGGUGCUGCAUGGUUGUCGUCAGCUCGUGCCGUGAGGUGUCGGGUUAAGUCCCAUAACGAGCGCAACCCCUAUCAUUAGUUGCCAUCAGGUCAAGCUGGGGACUCUAAUGAAACUGCCUACGCAAGUAGUGAGGAAGGUGGGGAUGACGUCAAAUCAGCACGGCCCUUACGUCCAGGGCUACACACGUGCUACAAUGGCCGGUACAAAGGGCAGCUACCUGGUGACAGGAUGCUAAUCUCAAAAGCCGGUCCCAGUUCGGAUUGCAGUCUGCAACUCGACUGCAUGAAGUUGGAAUCGCUAGUAAUCGUGGAUCAGCCAAGCCGCGGUGAAUACGUUCCCGGGCCUU
RNAcentral lists this ribosomal RNA (496 nucleotides) under uncultured Sphingobacteriales bacterium. Its description in RNAcentral is "bacterial SSU rRNA". It matches the Rfam family "Bacterial small subunit ribosomal RNA", at positions 904 to 1382 of the family's 1533-position model. The record is from RNAcentral. Lineage: Bacteria; Pseudomonadati; Bacteroidota; Sphingobacteriia; Sphingobacteriales.